RNAcentral lists this ribosomal RNA (737 nucleotides) under uncultured organism. RNAcentral describes it as "bacterial SSU rRNA". It matches the Rfam family "Bacterial small subunit ribosomal RNA", at positions 46 to 827 of the family's 1533-position model. The record is from RNAcentral.
GCCUAAGGUAUGCAAGUCGAAUGCCGAUUUAUCGGCAUGGCAGACGGCUGAGUAAUACAUGGGAAUCUACCUCAAACUCGAGAAUAGCCCAUCGAAAGGUGGUGUAAUACUCGAUAGUUCCGUUUACGGUAAAGCUCCGGCGGUUUGAGAUGAGCCCAUGUCCUAUCAGGUUGUUGGUAGGGUAAUUGCCUACCAAGCCUAUGACGGGUAGCUGGUUUGAGAGGAUGAUCAGCCAGACUGGGACUGCGAUACGGCCCAGACUCCUACGGGAGGCAGCAACUAGGAAUCAUGCGCAAUGGACGAAAGUCUGACGCUGCGACGUCGCGUGAGGGAUGAAGGUCUUCGGAUCGUAAACCUCUUUUAUCUGGGAACAAGUUCUGAGUGUACCAGAUGAAUAAGUGCCUGCCAACCACGUGCCAGAAGCAUCGGUAAUGCGUGGGGCACGAGCGUUAUCCGGAUUUACUGGGCGUAAAGAGAUGCGUAGGCGCCUUUUUAAGUCACUUGUAAAAUCUCCCCGCUCAACGGGGAAACUGCAAGUGAUACUGAAUUGGUUGAGUCAAGUAGAGGAGAGGGGAAUUCCUGGUGGAGCGGUUAAAUGCGUUGAUAUCAGGAGGAAUACCAAGUGCGAAGGCACCUCUCUGGACUUGUACUGACGCUAAGGCUCGAAAGUGUGGGGAGCAAAACGGAUUAGAUACCCGUGUAGUCCACACUGUAAACGAUCCCUGCUAGAUGUUUGC